Molecule: long non-coding RNA, 1585 nt
Filed under: Homo sapiens (human)
Lineage: Eukaryota; Metazoa; Chordata; Mammalia; Primates; Hominidae
Description: non-protein coding lnc-IRS1-2:5
Source: RNAcentral
ACAUUUUGCUCUCUUUAGGAAAAGACAACAUUGAUUUUAGAGGUUUUUGUUAUGGAGGCCAGGGGGAUUUUUCCAGUGCAGCACAGAGAAAUCUGGGUUUGGAUUGGGAAGCCAGACAUUUCUUGGCUUACAUUUCCUACUUGAAUGGGAUUCGUUUGCCCCCUCCUCACCUCUCCCCAACCCCCAGGCAGCUAGAAGCCCCACCUCCUUGCUUGGACCAUAUGGGGAAGCUGGCUCGGUGGCUGUUAUUCUACUGACUCCAAGUUCACGCAGCUGUUCAUCCCCUGCUUAAUGUACUGGUUGCCUGUGUCUGUACCCCGUUUCAUCUUCACUUCUGGGAACCAGGCUGAUGGAGAAGUCUUCUAGCAGAAGUACUAUGGGUCAUGAUGGCAGAAAGAAGAGCAAACUUGGUGGACCAUGUGCUGGCCCUUGAUGGGUCUACUCAGAUGGGUCACGUAUCUCUGCUCACAAGGUAGCUACCCUUGCAUUUCAUCAGGGCUCUGCUUGCAAGAAUCGCAAGGCAGAUCAAGCCUAGCGGCCUAAGAUUGAAUAACUGAGGCUUGAUAGAGUUACAUCACUUGUCCAAAGAGAUAAUGCCAGUGAAUGGAAUAGCCAGAUCGAAUUCCAGAAUCCGUAAAGCUCCACUGCUUCUCUCUGAAUGUAAUAACCCAUCCACAAGCCCUAAGAUAUUAGACACAUCAGUGAUCACUCCAUCUGCUUUUGGCCCAUUGCUGUUGUCAGGAUUUAUGCAUUUAUGUCUGCAAUAAUUAUUUAUUGAGGACCUUCUCUCUUGCAAUUGCAUAUGGCCUUAUAACUGAAUUCUGACUUUAUGUCUCUCUUAGGAUAGACAGAUAAAAAUUUUUCAUAUGUGAUCUUCUUUCUGUCCCCUACCUCUCAGCUAUGAGCCUGAAACAGCAGAUUCAGUAGAACAGAGUUUCUCAGGAAUGGCAGAGCCACAAGUUGGGAGGAGCCCAGCUCUGUCCAACAACCUGGAACAUCCAUCAACCAGGAAAACUGUUGCACUUUAUGUGAUUAAGAAACAUUUUUUAAGGAAAAAAGCAGUAAAUUUUUGGGUUAUAUUUGUUGCAAUAGCUGUGUUACUUUCCUAAUGCACAAUCACAAAUGUAAAAUGCCACACACAGAGUGUGAGGAAAUAUAUUGCUAUUGGACUACUUGUAGUCUAUUUAAUUUUUUUAUAUAGCUAUAGCCAGAUCUGGGGUGAAAUGGUUUAGAAUAAUAAUUUCCAAUAGUAUACAUCAUACCUUUAAAAAGACUUUUAUGGAUGGAUAAAUAUCUAAUUAUGGAACUGCCCUGCAACGUAAGUGGUGAGAGAAACUCUUUAUAUAUGCUUUGUUUUUUUCUGAAUGCAUAGGUUCAGAAUUAUUAAACAAAUCCUCAUCUUUUGACAGCCAGUAAUCAAUUUCUCAUUUGCAGGGAAUCUAAUUGCAUUAGAGGGGACACUGGGGAAGUUAUGGACUACCUCAUCUUUCUACUAUAAAAAAUGAAACUACUUGUCUGUAUUGAAUUUGAUUUUAUAUGUUCAAUGAAAUAUAUCAUAUCCUUAUAAUAAAGUUAUAUAAGUUGC